ACGAACGCUGGCGGCGUGCUUAACACAUGCAAGUCGAACGGGCCCGCCCCUGUUUUUGGGGGUGGGUUGAGUGGCGAACGGGUGAGUAUCACGUGAGUAACCUGCCCCCUGCUCCUGGAUAACUGCUUGAAAGGGCGGCUAAUACGGGGUGUGCCGGCUGGUCCGCAUGGGCCUGGUCGGGAUAGUUUCAUCUUCGGGUGUUUCGGUGGGGGAUGGGCUCGCGGCCUAUCAGCUUGUUGGUGGGGUGAUGGCCCACCAAGGCGGUGACGGGUAGCCGGCCUGAGAGGGUGGGCGGCCACACUGGGACUGAGACACGGCCCAGACUCCUGCGGGAGGCAGCAGGGGGGGGUAUUGCACAAUGGGCGGAAGCCUGAUGCAGCGACGUCGCGUGAGGGAUGGAGGCCUUCGGGUUGUGAACCUCUUUCUCCGGUGGUGAAGGCCCUGUCCGUUGCGGCGGGGUUGACGGUAGCCGGGUAUGAAGCGCCGGCUAACUACGUG
This 498-nucleotide ribosomal RNA is filed under the name uncultured bacterium. RNAcentral describes it as "partial 16S ribosomal RNA". It matches the Rfam family "Bacterial small subunit ribosomal RNA", at positions 29 to 507 of the family's 1533-position model. The record is from RNAcentral.